GACGAACGCUGGCGGCGUGCUUAACACAUGCAAGUCGAACGGAAAGGCCCUGCUUUUGUGGGGUGCUCGAGUGGCGAACGGGUGAGUAACACGUGAGUAACCUGCCCUUGACUUUGGGAUAACUUCAGGAAACUGGGGCUAAUACCGGAUAGGAGCUCCUGCUGCAUGGUGGGGGUUGGAAAGUUUCGGCGGUUGGGGAUGGACUCGCGGCUUAUCAGCUUGUUGGUGGGGUAGUGGCUUACCAAGGCUUUGACGGGUAGCCGGCCUGAGAGGGUGACCGGCCACAUUGGGACUAAGAUACGGCCCAGACUCCUACGGGAGGCAGCAGUGGGGAAUAUUGCACAGUGAGCGGGAGCCUGAUACAGCAACGCCGCGUGCGGGAUGACGGCCUUCGAGUUGUAAACCGCUUUCGCCUGUGACGAAGCGUGAGUGACGGUAAUGGGUAAAGAAGCACCGGCUAACUACGUG
Molecule: ribosomal RNA, 468 nt
Filed under: uncultured bacterium
Lineage: Bacteria
Description: partial 16S ribosomal RNA
Rfam family: Bacterial small subunit ribosomal RNA
Source: RNAcentral